RNAcentral lists this ribosomal RNA (459 nucleotides) under uncultured bacterium. RNAcentral's name for it is "partial 16S ribosomal RNA". It matches the Rfam family "Bacterial small subunit ribosomal RNA", at positions 338 to 795 of the family's 1533-position model. The record is from RNAcentral.
CCUACGGGAGGCAGCAGUGAGGAAUAUUGGUCAAUGGGCGCGAGCCUGAACCAGCCAAGUCGCGUGAGGGAAGACGGUCCUAUGGAUUGUAAACCUCUUUUGUCUGGGAGCAAAAGACGCCACGCGUGGCGUUCCGAGAGUACCCGAAGAAAAAGCAUCGGCUAACUCCGUGCCAGCAGCCGCGGUAAUACGGAGGAUGCGAGCGUUAUCCGGAUUUAUUGGGUUUAAAGGGUGCGCAGGCGGAAGAUCAAGUCAGUGGUAAAAUUGAGAGGCUCAACCUCUUCGAGCCGUUGAAACUGGUUGUCUUGAGUGAGUGAGAAGUAUGCGGAAUGCGUGGUGUAGCGGUGAAAUGCAUAGAUAUCACGCAGAACUCCGAUUGCGAAGGCAGCAUACCGGCGCUCAACUGACGCUCAUGCACGAAAGUGUGGGUAUCGAACAGGAUUAGAUACCCCAGUAGUC